GACGAACGCUGGCGGCGUGCUUAACACAUGCAAGUCGAACGGAAAGGCCCUGCUUUUGUGGGGUGCUCGAGUGGCGAACGGGUGAGUAACACGUGAGUAACCUGCCCUUGACUUUGGGAUAACUUCAGGAAACUGGGGCUAAUACCGGAUAGGAGCUCCUGCUGCAAGGUGGGGGUUGGAAAGUUUCGGCGGUUGGGGAUGGACUCGCGGCUUAUCAGCUUGUUGGUGGGGUAGUGGCUUACCAAGGCUUUGACGGGUAGCCGGCCUGAGAGGGUGACCGGCCACAUUGGGACUGAGAUAAGGCCCAGACUCCUACGGGAGGCAGCAGUGGGGAAUAGUGCACAAUGGGCGGAAGCCUGAUGCAGCAACGCCGCGUGCGGGAUGACGGCCUUCGGGUUGUAAACCGCUUUCGCCUGUGACGAAGCGUGAGUGACGGUAAUGGGUAAAGAAGCACCGGCUAACUACGUG
This 468-nucleotide ribosomal RNA is filed under the name uncultured bacterium. RNAcentral describes it as "partial 16S ribosomal RNA". It matches the Rfam family "Bacterial small subunit ribosomal RNA", at positions 28 to 507 of the family's 1533-position model. The record is from RNAcentral.